GUCUUACCAGACAUGGUUAGAUCUGGAUGUAUCUGUCUAAUACUGUCUGGUAAUGCCGU
RNAcentral lists this microRNA precursor (59 nucleotides) under Rattus norvegicus (Norway rat). RNAcentral describes it as "Rno-Mir-8-P3a_pre stem-loop". It matches the Rfam family "mir-8/mir-141/mir-200 microRNA precursor family", at positions 7 to 68 of the family's 72-position model. Rfam says of the family: The bounds of the precursors are predicted based on conservation and base pairing and are not generally known. The record is from RNAcentral. Lineage: Eukaryota; Metazoa; Chordata; Mammalia; Rodentia; Muridae.